UAGGGAAUAUUGGACAAUGGGGGCAACCCUGAUCCAGCCAUGCCGCGUGAGUGAAGAAGGCCCUCGGGUUGUAAAGCUCUUUUGUCCGGAAAGAAAAGCUUCGGGUUAAUACCCCGGGGUUCUGACGGUACCGGAAGAAUAAGCACCGGCUAACUUCGUGCCAGCAGCCGCGGUAAUACGAAGGGUGCAAGCGUUACUCGGAAUUACUGGGCGUAAAGCGUGCGUAGGUGGUUGUUUAAGUCUGAUGUGAAAGCCCUGGGCUCAACCUGGGAAUGGCAUUGGAAACUGGGCAGCUAGAGUGCGGUAGAGGGUAGUGGAAUUCCCGGUGCAGCAGUGAAAUGCGUAGAGAUCGGGAGGAACAUCUGUGGCGAAGGCGACUGCCUGGACCAGCACUGACACUGAGGCACGAAAGCGUGGGGAGCAAACA
This 427-nucleotide ribosomal RNA is filed under the name uncultured bacterium. RNAcentral's name for it is "bacterial SSU rRNA". It matches the Rfam family "Bacterial small subunit ribosomal RNA", at positions 355 to 774 of the family's 1533-position model. The record is from RNAcentral.